UCACCCCUCAAGCCCCGUGCUUGGUGUUGGAUGGCCGGUCGAGGUCCCCCCUCGACCCCUCCUAAAGACAACGACGGCGGCCUGUGGUUCCCCCGGUACACUGAGCUUCUUACCGAGCAUGUACCGGACGAGGGCACCCAGGACCCGGUCUUCUCCUCUCACGAGGAAAUAUUUUUCUAA
This 180-nucleotide unclassified non-coding RNA is filed under the name uncultured Cladophialophora. Its description in RNAcentral is "sequence contains ITS2". The record is from RNAcentral. Lineage: Eukaryota; Fungi; Ascomycota; Eurotiomycetes; Chaetothyriales; Herpotrichiellaceae.